RNAcentral lists this ribosomal RNA (433 nucleotides) under uncultured bacterium. RNAcentral describes it as "partial 16S ribosomal RNA". It matches the Rfam family "Bacterial small subunit ribosomal RNA", at positions 29 to 507 of the family's 1533-position model. The record is from RNAcentral.
AACGAACGCUGGCGGCAUGCCUAACACAUGCAAGUCGAACGAGACCUUCGGGUCUAGUGGCGCACGGGUGCGUAACGCGUGGGAACCUGCCUUUAGGUCCGGAAUAACUCAGAGAAAUUUGAGCUAAUACCGGAUGAUGUCUUCGGACCAAAGAUUUAUCGCCUUUAGAUGGGCCCGCGUUGGAUUAGCUAGUUGGUGGGGUAAAGGCCUACCAAGGCGACGAUCCAUAGCUGGUCUGAGAGGAUGAUCAGCCACACUGGGACUGAGACACGGCCCAGACUCCUACGGGAAGCAGCAGUGGGGAAUAUUGGACAAUGGGCGAAAGCCUGAUCCAGCAAUGCCGCGUGAGUGAUGAAGGCCUUAGGGUUGUAAAGCUCUUUUACCCGAGAUGAUAAUGACAGUAUCGGGAGAAUAAGCUCCGGCUAACUCCGUG